GACGAACCGAGCGAACGUUGUUCGGAAUCACUGGGCUUAAAGGGCGCGUAGGCGGUUGCUCAAGUCCGUGGUGAAAUCCUCCGGCUCAACCGGAGAACUGCCUCGGAUACUGGGUGCCUCGAGGGUGGUAGGGGUAUGCGGAACUAUCGGUGGAGCGGUGAAAUGCGUUGAUAUCGAUAGGAACUCCGGUGGCGAAGGCGGCAUACUGGACCACCUCUGACGCUGAGGCGCGAAAGCCAGGGGAGCAAACGGG
Molecule: ribosomal RNA, 253 nt
Filed under: uncultured bacterium
Lineage: Bacteria
Description: partial 16S ribosomal RNA
Rfam family: Bacterial small subunit ribosomal RNA
Source: RNAcentral